GUCUGGAUUCCGUGCUUCCUUACUUCCCAUAUCUUCUUUAAAAGUUGUAUGGAAUGUAAAGAAGUAUGGAGUGUUGAC
Molecule: microRNA precursor, 78 nt
Filed under: Stegodyphus mimosarum
Lineage: Eukaryota; Metazoa; Arthropoda; Arachnida; Araneae; Eresidae
Description: mir-1 microRNA precursor family
Rfam family: mir-1 microRNA precursor family
About the family: This family represents the microRNA (miRNA) mir-1 family. miRNAs are transcribed as ~70nt precursors (modelled here) and subsequently processed by the Dicer enzyme to give a ~22nt product. In this case the mature sequence comes from the 3' arm of the precursor.
Source: Rfam by way of RNAcentral